This 861-nucleotide ribosomal RNA is filed under the name uncultured bacterium. RNAcentral's name for it is "bacterial SSU rRNA". It matches the Rfam family "Bacterial small subunit ribosomal RNA", at positions 524 to 1381 of the family's 1533-position model. The record is from RNAcentral.
UACGGUUCCGUGCAAGCGUUAAUCGGAAUCACUGGGCGUAAAGGGUGCGUAGGCGGUACGUUAGGUCUGUCGUGAAAUCCCCGGGCUCAACCUGGGAAUGGCGGUAGAAACCGGCGCACUAGAGUAUGGGAGAGGGUGGUGGAAUUCCAGGUGUAGCGGUGAAAUGCGUAGAGAUCUGGAGGAACAUCAGUGGCGAAGGCGGCCACCUGGCCCAAUACUGACGCUGAGGCACGAAAGCGUGGGGAGCAAACAGGAUUAGAUACCCUGGUAGUCCACGCCCUAAACGAUGAAUACUAGAUGUUUGGUACCUAGCGUACUGAGUGUCGUAGCUAACGCGAUAAGUAUUCCGCCUGGGAAGUACGGCCGCAAGGUUAAAACUCAAAGGAAUUGACGGGAGCCCGCACAAGCGGUGGAGCAUGUGGUUUAAUUCGACGCAACGCGAAGAACCUUACCUGGGCUCGAAAUGUAGCAGAUCGGGGUAGAAAUAUCCCUUCGCCACAAGGGGCUGCGAUAUAGGUACUCCAUGGCUGUAGUCAGCUCGUCUCGUGAGAUGUUGGGUUAAGUGCCGCAACGAGCGCAAGCCUUCUCUCCACUUGCCACCAUUUAGUUGGGCACUCUGACGAAACCGCCUCGGAUAACGGGGAGGAAGGUGGGGAUGACGUCAAGUCAUCAUGGCCUUUACGUCCAGGGCUUCACCCGUGCUUCAAUGGGCGAUACAAAUGCGAUGCAAGCUCCGCGAGGGGGAGCUAAUCGGGAAAAGUCCGGCCUCAGUUCGGAUGGCAGUCUGCAACUCGACUGCAGGAAGCGGGAAUCGCUAGUAAUCGCGGAUCAGAACGCCGCGGUGAAUUCGUUCCCGGGCCU